RNAcentral lists this ribosomal RNA (406 nucleotides) under uncultured bacterium. RNAcentral describes it as "partial 16S ribosomal RNA". It matches the Rfam family "Bacterial small subunit ribosomal RNA", at positions 30 to 526 of the family's 1533-position model. The record is from RNAcentral.
AUUGAACGCUGGCGGCAGGCCUAACACAUGCAAGUCGAGCGAGCGGCGGACGGGUGAGUAAUGUCUGGGAAACUGCCUGAUGGAGGGGGAUAACUACUGGAAACGGUAGCUAAUAACGCAUACCAUCAGAUGUGCACAGAUGGGAUUAGCUGGUAGGUGGGGUACAGGCUCACCUAGGCGACUAGACCUCGCUGGUCUGAGAGGAUGACCAGCAACACGGGAACGGUGACACGUUCCAGACUCCUAAGGGAGGCAGCAGUGGGUAAUAUUUCACAAUUGGCGCAAGCCUGAUGCAGCCAUGCCGCGUGGGUUAAGAAGGCCUUCGGGUUGUAAAGCACUUUCAGCGGGGAGGCGUUACCCGCAGAAGAAGCACCGGCUAACUCCGUGCCAGCAGCCGCGGUAAUUC